UACGUAGGUGGCAAGCGUUGUCCGGAUUUACUGGGCGUAAAGGAUGCGUAGGCGGACAUUUAAGUCAGAUGUGAAAUACCCGAGCUUAACUUGGGUGCUGCAUUUGAAACUGGGUGCCUAGAGUGCAGGAGAGGUAAGUGGAAUUCCUAGUGUAGCGGUGAAAUGCGUAGAUACUGGGAGGAACACCAGUGGCGAAGGCGGCUACCUGGACCGGUUCUGACGCUGAGGCGCGAAAGCGUGGGUAGCAAACAGG
Molecule: ribosomal RNA, 253 nt
Filed under: uncultured bacterium
Lineage: Bacteria
Description: partial 16S ribosomal RNA
Rfam family: Bacterial small subunit ribosomal RNA
Source: RNAcentral